This 468-nucleotide ribosomal RNA is filed under the name uncultured bacterium. RNAcentral describes it as "partial 16S ribosomal RNA". It matches the Rfam family "Bacterial small subunit ribosomal RNA", at positions 28 to 507 of the family's 1533-position model. The record is from RNAcentral.
GACGAACGCUGGCGGCGUGCUUAACACAUGCAAGUCGAACGGAAAGGCCCUGCUUUUGUGGGGUGCUCGAGUGGCGAACGGGUGAGUAACACGUGAGUAACCUGCCCUUGACUUUGGGAUAACUUCAGGAAACUGGGGCUAAUACCGGAUAGGAGCUCCUGCUGCAUGGUGGGGGUUGGAAAGUUUCGGCGGUUGGGGAUGGACUCGCGGCUUAUCAGCUUGCUGGUGGGGUAGUGGCUUACCAAGGCUUUGACGGGUAGCCGGCCUGAGAGGGUGACCGGCCACAUUGGGACUGUGAUACGGCCCAGACUCCUACGGGAGGCAGCAGUGGGGCAUAUUGUACAAUGGGCGGAAGCCUGUUGCAGCAACGCCGCGUGCGUGAUGACGGCCUUCGGGUUGUAAACCGCUUUCGCCUGUGACGAAGCGUGAGUGACGGUAAUGGGUAAAGAAGCACCGGCUAACUACGUG